AAGUCGUAACAAGGUUUCCGUAGGUGAACCUGCGGAAGGAUCAUUAACACGUAUCCAACGUUAAACCCCCCGUGAACCUUCAGUGCGCUCGCACUUUCUUAGAAAAGGUAGCAAUCCCUGGUAAAUCAUUGCCGAACAGUUUUGAUUCAGGGACUUCUGCGUAGACUGUGCUUGAGCGUGAGGCAAGUGGCCUGGCAUUCCUCUGCUUGUUGGUGUCUGAAAGUGUCACCAGCUCUGUACGAAUGGCGCAGUCACGAUCGCUAGAGGCCGACACGGCCGGCGACCGGGUCACUGGGCGCGAGCCCCCGUCACCUUUGCAUGAAAAAUUGUGCGGCCACCAAACUCGAACAACUGUUAACAAUGGAUAUCUUGGUUCUC
Molecule: unclassified non-coding RNA, 378 nt
Filed under: fungal sp.
Lineage: Eukaryota; Fungi
Description: partial internal transcribed spacer region
Rfam family: Eukaryotic small subunit ribosomal RNA (bases 1-46)
Source: RNAcentral